CAGUAGCCGCGGUAAUACGUAGGUGGCAAGCGUUGUCCGGAAUUAUUGGGCGUAAAGGGCUCGCAGGCGGUUUCUUAAGUCUGAUGUGGAAGCCCCCGGCUCAACCGGGGAGGGUCAUUGGAAACUGGGAAACUUAAGUGCAGAAGAGGAGAGUGGAAUUCCACGUGUAGCGGUGAAAUGCGUAGAGAUGUGGAGGAACACCAGUGGCGAAGGCGACUCUCUGGUCUGUAGCUGACGCUGAGGAGCGAAAGCGUGGGGAGCGAACAGGAUUAGAUACCCCUGUAGUCCCUGUCUCUUAUAC
RNAcentral lists this ribosomal RNA (301 nucleotides) under uncultured bacterium. RNAcentral's name for it is "partial 16S ribosomal RNA". It matches the Rfam family "Bacterial small subunit ribosomal RNA", at positions 509 to 807 of the family's 1533-position model. The record is from RNAcentral.